Vicugna pacos (alpaca) is the source of this 521-nucleotide non-coding RNA. The record is from RefSeq and is a predicted model, not a curated record. NCBI's taxonomy places the organism in Eukaryota, Metazoa, Chordata, Mammalia, Artiodactyla, Camelidae.
UUGGCAUCUCCCCAGCUCGGUGGCUGCAGCCAGCCCUGCCUCUCAAGGCCCCGGGCACACGUGUGACUCAAGCUGCCCUGGGGCUGCCCACUGCCCACCUGGGGCCAGAGGCUUGAAGCCCAGCCAGGGUCCCAGGCAGUGCUGGACUGGGGGCUGCGCUGCGGGGAGGCGCCCUGUCACUAAGGGUGCCGCCCCCGAGCCCUACCCCGGCCAGGGUGAGGCCAGCCCCUGCAGUAGCCUCUCUGGCCACCAGGAACUCAGGGGUCCGGCGGCACGGAAGUGCACCCGGGGAAGGUCCCAGGGCAAGGGCAUAUCAAGAGGAUGCCUGAAGGCCGGGACUUGGGGAUCCUCAGGCCACCCCGUCCCACUGGGAAGACACGCCCAUCUCUGCCUGUCAUCAGCUGCCGGCCAGCCCAAAGCCAGGCCCACGACGGCUCUGAGAACCGGGACCUCCCUCGUGCCCGCCACGGGCCUGGCGGAGACCCCCUCGGCAUGGUGACUGUCCACCCGCCUCUGAGGAC